Non-coding RNA from Paramuricea clavata, 1401 nucleotides. NCBI's taxonomy places the organism in Eukaryota, Metazoa, Cnidaria, Anthozoa, Malacalcyonacea, Plexauridae. The record is from the annotation of a GenBank genome assembly.
CACGAAUAAAAAAUAUACAAUUCCAGGUGAUACGACAGGAAUUGGUGGACGCAAGACAAAGCUUAUUCAGCGAAAUAUUUUGGAUGUAACAAGUUCUAAAGAGCACCAAAAAGAAUCUUGGAGAGAAGGAAGAAAAUCAAGUUUACUUCCACAGAACAUCCAGGUAUUAUAUAUUGUAGUGAACUAAUUACAACAACUUUUUGUCAAAAACAAAAUAGGAAACAAAGAUAUACAUUUCACCUGGCCACUUCGGCCAUACUUCUUCCGCAUGUGUAUAGGGUUGGUUAGGUAGUUGGGAACACUGAAAUGUAUACAGUACAUGCAUGCAUGCGUGGAGAAUCAAUUGUGGCUCAAAAAGUAAAGGCAAACAGGGGAAGAUCAUGAAGGUAUUGUUGCAUGCAUGGGUGUCGGUUUCACUCGAUCUUCUAUGGAAUUUAAAUAGUUAUAUGAGUGGGUUGUCAUGUACAGUCAUGUUUAUUUUCCAAACCAGCUUGACAUGUGUUUUACAACAUUAAUAUUUAUCACAUGCGACGUUCAGAUUAUGAACCUAACCAUGUACGGGAGUGAGGUUUGUAAUGCUUAAAUCACCGAUAUUUAACAAUUAUUUGUCGAAGUGGUGGCGCAUAUUCACCGAAAUGCGAAAUGUUGAGCUGUUUUAGCAUAUAUAUAGCCAUGUACCAUGCAUAACAAAACAAGAAUGACCAAAAACAGCAAAAGAAUAAGCGAGAUAAUAAAGAGAGAAUAAGCGGUUUGAAAUUAUGUCAAUGGUUUCAUCUACAGGAAUGUUGGUAAAUAAGGAAGUCACAUCAAAGCUUGCCAUGACAACGUUGUUGGAAUCGAAAUUGAGGCUGAAUAAUUCCUGGACAAACGAGAAAGAAUCCUUAACCAUAUAAGCACUUGACGAAAUGGGAUUGAGGAGAGGGAUAAAAUAUUUAGCGAUUUUACAGGAAUAAUUGUUUAUACAACAAAGAAUAGGCCUAAGUGGUAUAUUGUCCUUGUGGAUUUUAGGUAGUACGAAUAAAAUUCCUACCCGAGAACCAGGCGGAUAUAGUUUUUCAUAGGUUGCUUGCGUGAUUGAUUCUGAUUUCUUUAACGUCGACAGGAACCUCAUGACUUUGUUCUCGCUUUGUAACGUCAGUUUUACCAGGUCUUCGUCUAGGCGUUGAAAUUUGGUUUCAUCUUCCAGUAUGGCUUCCAUUUUCUUGUAGUCGUCCUUGUCAAGAAUAACUACCCCAUUCUCUUUAUCUGGUUUGACAAUCACAAUGUUAGUAUCGUAUGUCAUUGUUCUGAAGAUGUCUUAAGUUAAAAACGAAACGUUAGCUUUCUAAUAAAUAUUUGCUGCCGCAGCGAGCGAGCCUGAAGCGAGCGAGCAAGGCAGCAGAUCCUAAUUUUGUUUUGUGG